Amaranthus tricolor (Joseph's coat) is the source of this 535-nucleotide long non-coding RNA. RefSeq lists it as uncharacterized. The transcript is spliced from 3 exons. NCBI's taxonomy places the organism in Eukaryota, Viridiplantae, Streptophyta, Magnoliopsida, Caryophyllales, Amaranthaceae. The record is from RefSeq and is a predicted model, not a curated record.
UCUCCUUCACCUUCCACCUUAAAAUUCCAAACCCAUUUCCUUAAAAAUUCCAAAGCCAUUUUCGAAAUCCUUCCUCCUUCAUUUUUGGUUUCAACAUUCUUGAAACAAGAACUGUAAAACCUUCUUUCUGCUUCUGAUAAUUUCAAAUGCCAACAAGCAAGAUUCAUUCUCAACUCUUGCUCUUGAUUCUUGAUGAAACAGGUCCUUCAUCCUCUUCUUGAUUCAAACUCGUUCCUUCCCUUUUCCUUCUUUUCUGAGCAACAAAAAUCGGACAGCAAACCCAACAUUCAUUGAGGUCACGAACACCACUUAUCACAGUGGUUCUGCAACCCUAAUCGGCGUCCCCUCUCUUGAUUCUAGCAUUGGAGUUUCUGAAAUCUGCCGCAGUCUCGAACAAUAUUCGCAAUUUCGAACCACAAUCGCAACUUUCAAUUUUCUGAUUUUGUCGCCUAUCAAGAUUGGAGGCGACGUCAUCGAGGAACCUUUCUAGCUGAUAGCUGCGAAUCGAACCUGACUCUUUGAAGCGUCGUCUUUG